UCCAGCUGUAAUUAACGCUUCCAACCAUUUACAGCCAAACAUAAAUAACGAACAUCGGGCUCAUUUGCCAGCCCUGCACACGCAGCAGGGGAGAUUUCCUGCAAGCCUAUGCCGCGGGCCGCCUCAGGGUGUCUCUGAAAGGCCAUGUUCUCUCAGUGGACAGGGGAGUGUGUCCCUGCUCAGCCAAGGGUACUGGGCACCGUGGAGGCCAGGAAAACCAGGAGGGUGGUGGUUCUUGAUCAUUUCAGGUAGCUCGUCCAGGGCUUGACAGAGUCCUGGGUUCCUCACAGCCAAUUGAGACAACCCACACAAGGAGACUCAGACCAGGCGGGGAGCUGGCCUCAUCUGGUUCAUUGAGAUCUAGGAAGUGAUGUUGGAGUCAGAAGAGGAGCCCUGGUCCACCACUGGAACGGGCAGCUGGUGAGAUGUAGUCUAAGGCCUGUAUAGUGUAACAGUGGCUGCAGAGACACUGUCACUGUGACUUAGAGUUUGCCCUUGCAACAAGAAACAGGGUAGUACGUUUGGGGACAUUUUGAUAAGAACUGUGCUUUGGGCCCAGAAUGCCCAGGGUGAGGUGGAUGUGGCAGGUGCUACACCUGAGAACUUGUGGACAAUCCUUCAAGCGCCCCAGGAGGGGGCCAUGAGCCUGUCCAGAGCAGCUGUGAAGGCCUGGAGGGCGGGGGACAGGCCACCCUCACAUGCCAGGGCUGGAGAGGGUACAAGACAGGCCCGGGGGAGGCGCUAGGAGGAACAGGGCAGCUGGAAAAGAAAGAGGUCUUCGGACAACACUGGCCCUACGCAGGCUCUCUGGCCCCACUGCCACCGCUGGAGGAGGAGCACUGAGGUCACUUCACAGAUGGGAAGACUGAGGCUCGGGCCCCAGCAGCGACCUCCCCGAGGCCAGUUCUAACUUGGCCUCCCAGCCAGCUCGCCAGGGCCUCCCCGCCCAUUUCCCGAGCUCAUCCCUGUCCACCAG
Molecule: long non-coding RNA, 976 nt
Filed under: Marmota monax (woodchuck)
Lineage: Eukaryota; Metazoa; Chordata; Mammalia; Rodentia; Sciuridae
Source: RNAcentral